GCUGGGCGUGGUGGCUCAUGCCUGUAAUCCUAGCACUUUGGGAGGCCGAGGUGGGUGGAUCACCUGAGGUCAGGAGUUCAAGACCAGCCUGGCCAACAUGGUGAAACCCCAUCUCUA
This 117-nucleotide non-coding RNA is filed under the name Homo sapiens (human). Lineage: Eukaryota; Metazoa; Chordata; Mammalia; Primates; Hominidae. The record is from Rfam by way of RNAcentral.